AUGAGAGGGAGAUAUGUGAGGAAGAAGAGGCGGCGCUGCGAGGAGGCUGCGCCAACAGCGUGCGCCUACCACGAGGCGGCAGGCGUGCUGCGCGGGAACAGCACGCGCACCAACUUCGCUGCACGGCACGGCGCCGCAGCCAGGCUGAGUAAGAGGCAGUACGUCGUGGCGAGGGCGGCCGCGGGCAGGUCGUCGUCGGCGUGCGGUGCCGGGGUGGGCGACCAGUUUGCGCUCGUCGCUGUGUUACGGGACUGGCAGCAGCCGGCGCUCUCGCCGCAGCUGUCCCUAGGCUGCCGCGCCAAGGCAGAGACCGUGCACGUGGCGGCCAACUCGGUGCAGCCCAGCUUCGUCGUGCCGAGCCGAGCGGAGGCGCCGCCGCCGUCGGUAACAGUGGGAGAAGCUGGAGACGAUCUUUGGGCCACCGACGUUUUGGAGUUGGACGGCAGCACGGAGACGAGCGCAAAGAAGGCGUUUAAGGUGUUAUCGUCUGUGAUCGUGCCGUCCAAGUUCGGUGCACCGCCGGAGUCGUUUGGCCUCGACGGUUUGUAG
RNAcentral lists this ribosomal RNA (549 nucleotides) under Triticum aestivum (bread wheat). RNAcentral describes it as "partial small subunit ribosomal RNA". The record is from RNAcentral. Lineage: Eukaryota; Viridiplantae; Streptophyta; Magnoliopsida; Poales; Poaceae.